Molecule: long non-coding RNA, 207 nt
Filed under: Elaeis guineensis (African oil palm)
Lineage: Eukaryota; Viridiplantae; Streptophyta; Magnoliopsida; Arecales; Arecaceae
Description: long non-coding RNA (EGUI_LNC067456)
Source: RNAcentral
GAUAGCAGGUCAUAAAUAAAUCAUCAAACCUCAAGAUCAGUCAUAUGAUAGAUUUGAUUAGCUUAAGUCCAAAUGUGAUGUCAAUAAAAAUUCUUUUCCAUCAAUCACUCUACUGUGAUCACAGAUUCAUAGACUUAGCUUCUCAAAUCCCAUAGGACUACUCUCUAUCAAGAUUGAUAGAUCCUAUCUUGAUGCGCAUCCUACUCC